This 508-nucleotide ribosomal RNA is filed under the name uncultured endophytic bacterium. RNAcentral's name for it is "bacterial SSU rRNA". It matches the Rfam family "Bacterial small subunit ribosomal RNA", at positions 8 to 511 of the family's 1533-position model. The record is from RNAcentral.
AGAGUUUGAUCCUGGCUCAGAUUGAACGCUGGCGGCAGGCCUAACACAUGCAAGUCGAGCGGAUGAAGAGAGCUUGCUCUCUGAUUCAGCGGCGGACGGGUGAGUAAUGCCUAGGAAUCUGCCUGGUAGUGGGGGACAACGUCUCGAAAGGGACGCUAAUACCGCAUACGUCCUACGGGAGAAAGCAGGGGACCUUCGGGCCUUGCGCUAUCAGAUGAGCCUAGGUCGGAUUAGCUAGUUGGUGAGGUAAUGGCUCACCAAGGCGACGAUCCGUAACUGGUCUGAGAGGAUGAUCAGUCACACUGGAACUGAGACACGGUCCAGACUCCUACGGGAGGCAGCAGUGGGGAAUAUUGGACAAUGGGCGAAAGCCUGAUCCAGCCAUGCCGCGUGUGUGAAGAAGGUCUUCGGAUUGUAAAGCACUUUAAGUUGGGAGGAAGGGCAGUAAGCGAAUACCUUGCUGUUUUGACGUUACCGACAGAAUAAGCACCGGCUAACUCUGUGCCAG